RNAcentral lists this non-coding RNA (29 nucleotides) under Homo sapiens (human). The record is from RNAcentral. Lineage: Eukaryota; Metazoa; Chordata; Mammalia; Primates; Hominidae.
CCAGACGAUCUCAGGUUGUCUCCUGACCU